RNAcentral lists this ribosomal RNA (879 nucleotides) under uncultured Gammaproteobacteria bacterium. RNAcentral's name for it is "bacterial SSU rRNA". It matches the Rfam family "Bacterial small subunit ribosomal RNA", at positions 33 to 916 of the family's 1533-position model. The record is from RNAcentral. Lineage: Bacteria; Pseudomonadati; Pseudomonadota; Gammaproteobacteria.
CCCCUUGCGGCUGCUACCAUGCAGUCGCACGCGAAAGGGGGCAACCCCGAGUAGAGUGGCGGACGGGUGCGUAACGCGUAGGAAUAUACCUGGUAGUGGGGGACAACCCGGCGAAAGCCGGGCUAAUACCGCAUACGAUCCACGGAUGAAAGCAGGGGACCGCAAGGCCUUGCGCUAUCAGAUUAGCCUGCGUCGGAUUAGCUAGUUGGUGAGGUAACGGCUCACCAAGGCAACGAUCCGUAGCUGGUUUGAGAGAACGACCAGCCACACUGGGACUGAGACACGGCCCAGACUCCUACGGGAGGCAGCAGAGGGGAAUAUUGGACAAUGGGGGCAACCCUGAUCCAGCAAUGCCGCGUGUGUGAAGAAGGCCUUCGGGUUGUAAAGCACUUUCGAUGGGGAAAAACAAGCCAGACCUAACACGUCUGGCCCUGAUGGUACCCAGAGAAGAAGCACCGGCUAACUCUGUGCCAGCAGCCGCGGUAAUACAGAGGGUGCAAGCGUUAAUCGGAAUUACUGGGCGUAAAGGGUGCGUAGGUGGUUUGUUAAGUCAGGCGUGAAAUCCCUGGGCUCAACCUGGGAACUGCGUUUGAUACUGGCAGACUCGAGUCUGGUAGAGGGUAGUGGAAUUCCGCAUGUAGCGGUGAAAUGCGUAGAUAUGCGGAGGAACAUCAGUGGCGAAGGCGGCUACCUGGACCAAGACUGACACUGAGGCACGAAAGCGUGGGGAUCAAACAGGAUUAGAUACCCUGGUAGUCCACGCCCUAAACGAUGGGUACUAGACGUUGGGAAGUUUAUCUUCUUGGUGUCGCAGCUAACGCAAUAAGUACCCCGCCUGGGGAGUACGGUCGCAAGAUUAAAACUCAAAGGAAUUGACGG